UAAAAAAGUACUAGUAGGUCAAUGAAGUAAGAAAAAACAGAAGAUACUCCUGUUUUGAAAACUAAAGGAAAAGAAAUUUUUAAAAACAGGGUAAUUAGUUUCACAUUAUACAAAUAGCUCAGAACAAGAGUUUAAAUUAGGUAACUAGGACAGAUACAGGGUAGGGCAAAAGUAGGUUUACGUUGUGAGUACACAAAACAGAGUGUAUUCUUGUAUUAUUAUUUAUUAAUUACUAUAUUAUUUUCAAUACAAGCAAUAGUAAAUCUACUUUUGCCCGACCCUGUAUAAGAUUACCAUGGGUGGAGGAAAGAAAAGAAAGUGAAGCAGAAAUUUAGUGGUAAAAAGAGUUACUAGCAGGGCUCAGUGAACUUUUUCUCUAAGCUUUAUGGGUCAUGCACUGUCCCACAUUUGCUUUUUCUUUAACAACAUUUUAAAGAUAUAAAAAGCAUUUUAGCUGGGUUAUACAAAAAUCAGGCUGCAGGACAGAUAUGAGCAGCUGGUGGUAGCUUCCCAUCCUUUCUUAAGCAUGGUGGUCAAGAGCACCAACUCUGGAACCAGGCUGACUGAAUUAAUCCUCAGACAGUCACUCUCUAGGUGCCCUUGGGCCAGUCACUUAACUUCUCUGUAUCUGGGUUUCCAUACCUGUAAAAGAUAAUAACUACCUUGAGGGUUGCUAUAACAAAUAAAAGUACAAGUAAAAUGCCUAGCUAGAGAAAAGCCGUACCACUGGGAGGAUUUGUUAGAUUAUAAGCAGACAGAAGAGAGCCAACAGGAGAUGUAUUAAGUGGAAAAAGAAUGAUUAAUUUUUAAAAAGCAGCAAAGAAGAAAUGGAGGAAUGGGAUCAGAACAGUGCAGGUGAAUACAAGAUACAACAGGCUCUAUCCCAACUGCUAAUGAAAGUAUAAACUGGUUUGGAGACGAGCCUGCCAACUUUGAUCAAAAUUUCAAAUGUGUACAUCUUUUGAGCCUUUCACCUCUUCUAAAACUUGGCUGUACAUAUAUAUGCAAACACGUAUAAAGCUAUGAAUUUAGUGUUGACAAAAAUAAAAAAAUAGAA
This is a long non-coding RNA of Phyllostomus discolor (pale spear-nosed bat), 1057 nucleotides long. RefSeq lists it as uncharacterized. The transcript is spliced from 2 exons. The record is from RefSeq and is a predicted model, not a curated record. NCBI's taxonomy places the organism in Eukaryota, Metazoa, Chordata, Mammalia, Chiroptera, Phyllostomidae.